Molecule: long non-coding RNA, 1304 nt
Organism: Catharus ustulatus (Swainson's thrush)
Lineage: Eukaryota; Metazoa; Chordata; Aves; Passeriformes; Turdidae
Exons: 6
Source: RefSeq, a predicted model, not a curated record
UUAUACAGCAGCAGCAGGAGCUCAGAUUCAGAGCUGAGUGAACGUCAGGGUGAGAGAGAGGGAGAGCAAGCGAGAGAAAGCGCGCAAUAGAGGGAGACUGUACCCACUCUAGCAUCAGUGUGUGACAGCUGGUGCCUGAUAACACUGAUAUUGAGCUCCUUUAGUGGAGAACUUGCUGAGCUACCCUUUUUUCAUUUGCAAGAGGAUGCCAGCUCUAAGCCAGUGCAACUAAUGACAGACUGGAUCUUGGAAUAGUUCGUUUCACUUACAAUUACAUCUCUCAUGUUCUGCUUCUCCGAAGAAAGGCGUAUUACGGAAGACAAAAAUUCAUUCUCCCCUUACCUCACAUAUUAUUGAUGAUAUACAGAGUUUGAUUUUCCAGUGAAAGCUACGGAAUUAUCAGGUUUUUGGUAUCUUCAGUGGAACCUUGCAAGACUGUUUGGUGGAAAAUAUAUUCCUAAGGACUUGGUUAGUCAUCAAGUUACAAAACAAAUUCAAGACCAGAAGACAAAAAGGUAGCUGAGGUAGUAAUUCUCCUGAAGAAUUAAGAAACCAGUGUCUUCGAGGGCAUUCUUUUAAGUGCAUUGAGCAGUUGGGACUCCGUUCAGCUACUGAUGUGUCUCGUUCAGAGCACCCUUGAUUGUCGACAUCCACAAAGGGGAAGGAGAUACGAAAAAACCAAAAGUUCAGUGUGUGAUUGUGCCCCGGAUGGAACAGUUGCUCUAAGACACGCUGCAUAGCUCAAAUGCAGCUAAAGAGGCAGUAGGUUUGAUUUGGCAAGUCAUUUGGAAAAGGAGGAGUGGAGAAGUGCCCUGUAACCAUUGAACAAUAAAAAAUGAUCAGCUGUGGAACUCUAUUGUGAAGACCUCAGAAGAAAUACCAAUAUUUCCAAUCAGCUUUUCAUAAUGUAAAUAUAUUUUGAGCUUUCCCAGAUGGGCAGCUAAACCAUGAACAUGCAGAAAAGCCCAAUUUGGACUGUAUUUCUGAAGCAGACUUCACCUUCUCUCUCGGGACUUUAUUGAAGGAUUACAGCUGAAGAGGACAAGAGAAAAAAAACCUUGAACAGGAAUCUUAUCCUACAAUGAGAAUUACAAGUACAUCUUGUAUCUGCCCAGUCCUAGUUUGUCUCUGUUUUGUGCAGAGGUGUUAUGGAACUGCUCACCAUGGCUCCAUCAAGGUGACCAGAAAUCAAACCAAACACAUAGAAGGUGAAACAGAAGUGCAUCAUCGUCCAAAGCGUGGAUGGGUGUGGAAUCAGUUCUUUGUUUUAGAAGAACACAUGGGACCAGAUCCUCAGUAUGUAG